GCCGGGCGUGGUGGCGCGUGCCUGUAGUCCCAGCUACGCGGGAGGCUGAGGCGGGAGGAUCGCUUGAGCCCAGGAGUUCUGGGCUGUAGUGCGCUAUGCCGAUCGGGUGUCCGCACUAAGUUCGUCAUCAAUACGGUGACCUCCCGGGAUCGGGGGACCACCAGGUUGCCUAAGGAGGGGUGAACUGGCCCAGGUCAGAAAUGGAGCAGGUCAAAACUCCCGUGCUGAUCAGUAAUGGGAUCGUGCCGGUGAAUAGCCACCGCACUCCAGCCUGGGCAACAUAGGGAGACCCCGUCUCU
Molecule: signal recognition particle RNA, 299 nt
Filed under: Aotus nancymaae (Ma's night monkey)
Lineage: Eukaryota; Metazoa; Chordata; Mammalia; Primates; Aotidae
Description: Metazoan signal recognition particle RNA (ENSANAG00000005513.1)
Rfam family: Metazoan signal recognition particle RNA
About the family: The signal recognition particle (SRP) is a universally conserved ribonucleoprotein. It is involved in the co-translational targeting of proteins to membranes.
Source: RNAcentral